Molecule: signal recognition particle RNA, 299 nt
Filed under: Colobus angolensis palliatus
Lineage: Eukaryota; Metazoa; Chordata; Mammalia; Primates; Cercopithecidae
Description: Metazoan signal recognition particle RNA (ENSCANG00000018566.1)
Rfam family: Metazoan signal recognition particle RNA
About the family: The signal recognition particle (SRP) is a universally conserved ribonucleoprotein. It is involved in the co-translational targeting of proteins to membranes.
Source: RNAcentral
GCCGGGCGCGGUGGCGCGUGCCUGUAGUCCCAGCUACUCGGGAGGCUGAGGCUGGAGGAUCGCUUGAGUCCAGGAGUUCUGGGCUGUAGUGCGCUAUGCCGAUCGGGUGUCCGCACUAAGUUCGGCAUCAAUAUGGUGACCUCCCGGGAGCGGGGGACCACCAGGUUGCCUAAGGAGGGGUGAACCGGCCCAGGUCGGAAACGGAGCAGGUCAAAACUCCCGUGCUGAUCAGUAGUGGGAUCGCGCCUGUGAAUAGCCACUGCACUCCAGCCUGGGCAACAUAGCGAGACCCUGUCUCU